This 635-nucleotide ribosomal RNA is filed under the name uncultured fungus. RNAcentral's name for it is "eukaryotic LSU rRNA". The stretch from base 240 to 393 matches the Rfam family "5.8S ribosomal RNA". Lineage: Eukaryota; Fungi. The record is from RNAcentral.
AGUAAAAGUCGUAACAAGGUCUCCGUUGGUGAACCAGCGGAGGGAUCAUUACAGAGUUGCAAAACUCCCACAAACCAUCGCGAAUCUUACCCGUACGGUUGCCUCGGCGCUGGCGGUCCGGAAGGCCCUCGGGCCCCCGGAUCCUCGGGUCUCCCGCUCGCGGGAGGCUGCCCGCCGGAGUGCCGAAACCAAACUCUUGAUAUUUUAUGUUUCUCUGAGUAAACUUUUAAAUAAGUCAAAACUUUCAACAACGGAUCUCUUGGUUCUGGCAUCGAUGAAGAACGCAGCGAAAUGCGAUAAGUAAUGUGAAUUGCAGAAUUCAGUGAAUCAUCGAAUCUUUGAACGCACAUUGCGCUCGCCAGUAUUCUGGCGAGCAUGCCUGUUCGAGCGUCAUUUCAACCAUCAAGCUCUGCAUGCGUUGGGGAUCCGCGUCUGACGCGGUCCCUCAAAAACAGUGGCGGGCUCGCUAGUCACACCGAGCGUAGUAACUCUACAUCGCUAUGGUCGUGCGGCGGGUUCUUGCCGUAAAACCCCCAAUUUCCAAGGUUGACCUCGGAUCAGGUAGGAAUACCCGCUGAACUUAAGCAUAUCAAUAAGCGGAGGAAAAGAAACCAACAGGGAUUGCCCCAGUAACG